RNAcentral lists this small nucleolar RNA (107 nucleotides) under Helianthus annuus (common sunflower). RNAcentral describes it as "Plant small nucleolar RNA R71". It matches the Rfam family "Plant small nucleolar RNA R71". From Rfam's summary of the family: R71 is a member of the C/D box family of snoRNAs containing the C (UGAUGA) and D (CUGA) box motifs. Multiple nearly identical copies of this snoRNA have been identified in Arabidopsis, and it is thought to function as a 2'-O-ribose methylation guide for 18S ribosomal RNA. The record is from RNAcentral. Lineage: Eukaryota; Viridiplantae; Streptophyta; Magnoliopsida; Asterales; Asteraceae.
AGGCCAUGAUGGGGACACUUGCGUAAUAGCUCCUUGAACCUUUCCCAAGUUUCAUAUAAGGAUUCCCCGUCCUCUUGUGAAUAUGUAUUUAUUUCAGUCAUUAACUU